This 1194-nucleotide long non-coding RNA is filed under the name Panax ginseng (ginseng). RNAcentral describes it as "long non-coding RNA (PGIN_LNC005878)". Lineage: Eukaryota; Viridiplantae; Streptophyta; Magnoliopsida; Apiales; Araliaceae. The record is from RNAcentral.
GCAUCUCUCUUGAUCCAGGUCUGAUUUCUCAUUAUUUCUUCGUUCUUUCUCAUUUCUGAAUUCUCAUUCGUAAUAUGAAAAGAUCGUUACUUGACUUCUUCGUCGACGACGUUGUAAGGGAAGUUUGGGACCCAGAAAUUAAUGAAUUGAGAUCCUGAAUAACUUUUUUUCGGUGGGUUUGCUCUUCGGCGAAGGUGGGUUUCCUUUUCAAUUGUCUUUCCUUAUAUUCACUUUUGUAAUAGUUAUCGCACCAUGAGUACCAGAGCUGAGAAAGUAUAUGGUGACGCCAUAAGUAUCAAAGCUGAGGGAAACCUUAAAGAAAUAGGAUGGAUGGGCCUUAACUUAUCUCUGUUAUGUGCAUAUUGAUUCCGUUCACUUGUAUGUUUUUGGUUGCUUUAUUAUUUUAGUGGAAUCAGUUUGGUGUUGUAUUGGUUUUUCGCAUAUUAUUUUUCGCUCGAUUUGGGAUGGACUUGGAUUUGACGUUUCCAUAUUAGUUUGAUUUGGGAUUUUUUUUCGAUUUCAACUGAUUUUAUGUUUCCCCCUUUGUUGUUUACUAUUAUAUUGUUGUAAUCUGAUUUUUUGGGGUGUUCUAUUUCACCGGAGUUUCUGGUUUUAUGUGUGCAUAUUGUUCAUCUUAUUCGUAAAUUAGGUUUUGUUGUUUGGUUAUUCCAUUUCAGCUUGAUUCAGUGCUUGUUGCUUAUUUAAUCUGUUUUAACUGUUGUGGUGUUCCUUCUUCAUGAUAUUGUCGUACUCUAGUCACGGUGGGCGCAAAUUUGAUUCAGUCUAAUUAUUUUUUGUUCUUCCGAGUUUUGGAGUGUUAUAUAAUCUGUUUUUGGCUGUUGUUGUGACGCCCCCAAAAUAGGUAUACAACACCCAUUCUGAGUCUCCAAAUACAUGGUACAGAAACAACUACAACUUUAUUAAUACAAUUAUCGUGCAAAAUACGACAACACAUAAACUGUGAGUUUAAAAACAAAUAUUGUCUUCUAGACAAUAUCAACACUCAAAUAAGUCUUCAUUACAAUUAUUGAUACACUAUUUUACAAAAUAAUGAGGACUACUAAAACGACUUUCUAUAACCUUCAUUCCACACCCCGACUAGUACUCGCUACAUUCUCGCCUCCUGAGAAAAAAAAUGGAACAAAAAGGAAAAGGGUGAGCUCAACUAGCCCAGUAAAGAAUAUUAUGACUAAG